GGAACAGUUCAGGCCUGCUCUCCGAAGGCAGUUGGAACUCAUUGAAGAGGGCAGGAGGGAGAGGAUGGGGAGUAGUGAGGAGAAACAGAGACAGGAGAAGAGACAGAGACAGGCAAGGAGACAGGGACAGGAGAAGAGACUGUGACAGGGACCGAGAGAGACAAAGGAAAAAAAUUUAAAAAAAAGCGAAGGCAACACAGAGGAGGGUGGGGUAAAUGU
Long non-coding RNA from Amphimedon queenslandica, 219 nucleotides. RefSeq lists it as uncharacterized. The record is from RefSeq and is a predicted model, not a curated record. NCBI's taxonomy places the organism in Eukaryota, Metazoa, Porifera, Demospongiae, Haplosclerida, Niphatidae. The transcript has 3 exons.